Molecule: long non-coding RNA, 285 nt
Filed under: Lactuca sativa (garden lettuce)
Lineage: Eukaryota; Viridiplantae; Streptophyta; Magnoliopsida; Asterales; Asteraceae
Description: long non-coding RNA (LSAT_LNC009331)
Source: RNAcentral
CAUCACUUCCCAAUACUCCAACCUUUAACAUCUGCAACAGAUACCUUAUUUUCCACUUCAAAUUCAUCACUUCCCCACACUCCAACCUCUAGCAUCUGCAACAAUGGCUUCCCCUCAUGAAUCUUCAACUCUCGACCUCAUCCGUCAACACCUUCUCAUCGACGACUUAUCUUUCCUUCAGAAAUACUCUCUUUCCCACAAAUCACACAUCGUUUCUCCCACUCAUUCGUCUUCUUCCCAAUCCUCUUCUCUUGAUAGCCUUCUUGUUAACAAGUCUGUUUCCAG